UUGAUUUUCCUGGUUAUCAUGUAUGGGUAACACAGGAGUAUGCAUGAAACAUCUGUACAAGUUGUGUACACAGCAGAUGAAUAAUACACCCCGAGUAUGGUGAGUAAUGCUGAAGGAAUGGACGGGUUGUUGUCAUUUUGAUAGGAAGACGCGGUAAAAGCAUCACCUCCAAAAUACGUCGCGGUCGUAGAAACUUGCAAGUAAUACCUAAGACGUCAUGGUGAAGAAACGUCCCUACCGGAGCCGCGGUCUCGACCCAGGAGCCGAGCUGACCAUCCACCGCAGGGGACUCUCGCUGAAUCUGGGCAUCGUGCAGCUCUCCUUCGGGAUCAUCUCCUUGAUAUUCGGUAUGGCGCUGAUCCCCGCCUACGCCUGGGGCCAUGAGGCUGCUGUAGGCAUCUGGUCCGGCGUCAUCUUCAUCAUAGCAGGCUCCAUGGUCAUCCACGCACAUCGGAGGCGGAUUCUCAAGAACAUUGUCUAUUGUUCCGCGGGGUGCUUAUUUUCAAUCAUCCUCGGAUUCAUUGUGUUCAUAUUCCAAGCAGUUGCUGUGCAUUAUAACAGACCUAGUUACGAGUAUUAUUGGGAGGCUUGGAAACUGACCCCUACGGACCCCCACCUCCAGUUCUGGAAUAUGAACUACGCAUGCGUGCUUGCUAUGAAUAUUAUUCUCAUGUUCAAUGGAUUGAUACAACUUGGUUGUGGAUUUCAACAGUUCUUUUUAUGCUCCAUGACAAUAUCUCAGUACGAAAAGUUUUUAGCGACAGCAGAGUCGAAUCGAGGACAAGUGAACCAGGCGGCACAAGCAGAGACACCUCCAACUAAGCACAUGCCUGGGCAUGCGCACAGGUGUCCUGCUGACCGGACUAAACCGCCGAAACCUGGCAUUCGGACUGUGAGCAGUCAGGUAUGAGGAGAAUUCCAUGGGGGUCAAGAGACCUUUGCUAUAAUCGUUUCGUACCACAUUCCAUCCCGUUGGAAAGAAAGACAACCUGGGAAGCUUCCGUCCUCCUGUGUUCAAACAAUACGAAGUCAUAUGUAAUCUCGGUGAAAGUGACAGUCGUCCUCGAGUCUUUUGCUUGAAAAGUGGAAAGUAAUCUUUGAGUCGGGAAGUGAGACUGGGAGUACAACUGACCUAACUUCCCACUUCACAGUAUCUUUGAGACAGACAAGCCAAGAGUGUUCGGCACGUCCGUUAUCUUUGAGAUGGACGGUUUGAUAAGGACACGUCCGUGCACAAUGUUGAUGUGUCACCUUCGAGUGAGAGAAGGAACUAUGUAACUAUAGGCAGAGAUAUUUCAUGAAAAGGACACCUCCGCCAUGCCAUCCAAUAAGAUAAUGGUUUAUGAACUGUUUACAUGUACAUCAUUUCUCAACAUAUUCAACUUUUUCAGCAUUUUCAGCAUUUCACAUUCCAUUUGUCCAUUAUUACAUUUGUUAAGAUCUACACAUUUUUGAAUGUGAAUUUCUCACCUCGUAUGUUGUCAUUUUGCAUUGUUUUAUGAUGUUGUGGUUGGUCAUAAAAUACAUUUUUAUAACUGAUGA
Lineus longissimus is the source of this 1542-nucleotide long non-coding RNA. RefSeq lists it as uncharacterized. Lineage: Eukaryota; Metazoa; Nemertea; Pilidiophora; Heteronemertea; Lineidae. The transcript is spliced from 2 exons. The record is from RefSeq and is a predicted model, not a curated record.